Molecule: long non-coding RNA, 877 nt
Filed under: Trifolium pratense (red clover)
Lineage: Eukaryota; Viridiplantae; Streptophyta; Magnoliopsida; Fabales; Fabaceae
Description: long non-coding RNA (TPRA_LNC012642)
Source: RNAcentral
GUCCCAAACGAUGACAAUAUUUGCAUUCACGACGGUAUUUGAAAGUGGAAUAUCGUCGUCGAGAAUAAAAAAACGUCAUAAUUAAUAAUCUUAGCCAAGUAGUACCGGAAGCAGCAAAGAAAAAUUAACAUCGGUGAACAGUGCGCAUGAACAGUACCGUCGUGAACAGUACCAGCGAAUGAACAGUGCGUAUGAACAGUACCACGGGUUAACAGUGCCGCACACAAAAUCAGUUGUCGUGGUCAGAUUGUAAACACGACGGCGGCUAGGGUUUUGCGGAAGCGAGACCCCCAAAAUCGGGAGCUCUCGAUACCAUCUUAGAAAUGAGUAUUGGGCCUAACUCAUCCUUACAAAACCGGCUUGUAAGGUGAGGAUUGCCUCUAGUAUAUAAACACUUAGUAAGGCCAUCUCUUAACCGAUGUGGGACUUCUUAACACACCCCCUCGCGUCCAGCGCUAUUGGGCUUGGUACGCGGAUAUAAAUGGUAGGUGACCCGAUAUCGGGUGGCCCAACAACGGAUCUUGGAGAGGCUCUGAUACCAUGUAGAAAAUAAUAAGUGAAUACUGUUAUAUGUUAUUCCUCAGCUCAAGGCUGGUUUAAAUAGGAAGAGUACAAACAUAAAAGGAAAUAAUAGAUAGGCUUAGAAUCUCCUAGAAAUAACAAACUAGGAAACUAAAUAUUUUCCAACAAUUAGUAUUAUAGACUAAGCUUGUAUAAAUAGACAUGAGUGUGAUCUGAUUUAAGCUGAUGAAAUCACAAAUUCAACAUAGUAUCCGAGCCUAAAUUUUCACAAGUUAUGUUAUCUUUGCAGACAUUCUUGACCAUAAUUGAAUUUGUAAUAUUUUGACUUAUAGAAUCAUUCUCUUUUGCUAUGCAG